RNAcentral lists this ribosomal RNA (465 nucleotides) under uncultured bacterium. Its description in RNAcentral is "partial 16S ribosomal RNA". It matches the Rfam family "Bacterial small subunit ribosomal RNA", at positions 28 to 507 of the family's 1533-position model. The record is from RNAcentral.
GACGAACGCUGGCGGCGUGCUUAACACAUGCAAGUCGAACGGAAAGGCCCCCUUGUGGGGUACUCGAGUGGCGAACGGGUGAGUAACACGUGAGUAACCUACCCUUGACUUUGGGAUAACUUCAGGAAACUGGGGCUAAUACCGGAUAGGAGCUCCUGCUGCAUGGUGGGGGUUGGAAAGUUUCGGCGGUUGGGGAUGGACUCGCGGCUUAUCAGCUUGUUGGUGGGGUAGUGGCUCACCAAGGCUUUGACGGGUAGCCGGCCUGAGAGGGUGACCGGCCACAUUGGGACUGAGAUACGGCCCAGACUCCUACGGGAGGCAGCAGUGGGGAAUAUUGCACAAUGGGCGGAAGCCUGAUGCAGCAGCGCCGCGUGCGGGAUGACGGCCUUCGGGUUGUAAACCGCUUUCGCCUGUGACGAAGCGUGAGUGACGGUAAUGGGUAAAGAAGCACCGGCUAACUACGUG